GCGGUGGUUCAGUGGAGAAUUCUUGCCUUCCAUGCAGGAGACCCGGGUUCGAUUCUGGCCAAUGCA
Molecule: transfer RNA, 66 nt
Filed under: Loxodonta africana (African savanna elephant)
Lineage: Eukaryota; Metazoa; Chordata; Mammalia; Proboscidea; Elephantidae
Rfam family: tRNA
About the family: Transfer RNA (tRNA) molecules are approximately 80 nucleotides in length. Their secondary structure includes four short double-helical elements and three loops (D, anti-codon, and T loops). Further hydrogen bonds mediate the characteristic L-shaped molecular structure. tRNAs have two regions of fundamental functional importance: the anti-codon, which is responsible for specific mRNA codon recognition, and the 3' end, to which the tRNAs corresponding amino acid is attached (by aminoacyl-tRNA synthetases). tRNAs cope with the degeneracy of the genetic code in two manners: having more than one tRNA (with a specific anti-codon) for a particular amino acid; and 'wobble' base-pairing, i.e. permitting non-standard base-pairing at the 3rd anti-codon position.
Source: Rfam by way of RNAcentral